This 810-nucleotide ribosomal RNA is filed under the name Streptomyces hundungensis. RNAcentral describes it as "bacterial SSU rRNA". It matches the Rfam family "Bacterial small subunit ribosomal RNA", at positions 64 to 889 of the family's 1533-position model. Lineage: Bacteria; Bacillati; Actinomycetota; Actinomycetes; Kitasatosporales; Streptomycetaceae. The record is from RNAcentral.
GAACGAUGAAGCCCUUCGGGGUGGAUUAGUGGCGAACGGGUGAGUAACACGUGGGCAAUCUGCCCUUCACUCUGGGACAAGCCCUGGAAACGGGGUCUAAUACCGGAUAACACUCCUCAGGGCAUCUUGAGGGGUUAAAAGCUCCGGCGGUGAAGGAUGAGCCCGCGGCCUAUCAGCUUGUUGGUGGGGUAAUGGCCUACCAAGGCGACGACGGGUAGCCGGCCUGAGAGGGCGACCGGCCACACUGGGACUGAGACACGGCCCAGACUCCUACGGGAGGCAGCAGUGGGGAAUAUUGCACAAUGGGCGAAAGCCUGAUGCAGCGACGCCGCGUGAGGGAUGACGGCCUUCGGGUUGUAAACCUCUUUCAGCAGGGAAGAAGCGAAAGUGACGGUACCUGCAGAAGAAGCGCCGGCUAACUACGUGCCAGCAGCCGCGGUAAUACGUAGGGCGCAAGCGUUGUCCGGAAUUAUUGGGCGUAAAGAGCUCGUAGGCGGCUUGUCACGUCGGAUGUGAAAGCCCGGGGCUUAACCCCGGGUCUGCAUUCGAUACGGGCUAGCUAGAGUGUGGUAGGGGAGAUCGGAAUUCCUGGUGUAGCGGUGAAAUGCGCAGAUAUCAGGAGGAACACCGGUGGCGAAGGCGGAUCUCUGGGCCAUUACUGACGCUGAGGAGCGAAAGCGUGGGGAGCGAACAGGAUUAGAUACCCUGGUAGUCCACGCCGUAAACGUUGGGAACUAGGUGUUGGCGACAUUCCACGUCGUCGGUGCCGCAGCUAACGCAUUAAGUUCCCCGCCUGGGGAGUACGGCCGC